UGAAGAGGUCAUCAGUGUGAUCA
Molecule: non-coding RNA, 23 nt
Filed under: Mus musculus (house mouse)
Lineage: Eukaryota; Metazoa; Chordata; Mammalia; Rodentia; Muridae
Source: RNAcentral